RNAcentral lists this transfer RNA (83 nucleotides) under Minisyncoccota bacterium. Its description in RNAcentral is "tRNA-Leu". It matches the Rfam family "tRNA". Rfam says of the family: Transfer RNA (tRNA) molecules are approximately 80 nucleotides in length. Their secondary structure includes four short double-helical elements and three loops (D, anti-codon, and T loops). Further hydrogen bonds mediate the characteristic L-shaped molecular structure. tRNAs have two regions of fundamental functional importance: the anti-codon, which is responsible for specific mRNA codon recognition, and the 3' end, to which the tRNAs corresponding amino acid is attached (by aminoacyl-tRNA synthetases). tRNAs cope with the degeneracy of the genetic code in two manners: having more than one tRNA (with a specific anti-codon) for a particular amino acid; and 'wobble' base-pairing, i.e. permitting non-standard base-pairing at the 3rd anti-codon position. The record is from RNAcentral. Lineage: Bacteria; Bacillati; Minisyncoccota. RNAcentral also lists the same sequence under 1 other name.
GCCGUGGUGGCGGAACCUGGUAUACGCGUAUGACUCAGAAUCAUAUCCCGCAAGGGUUGGGGGUUCGAGUCCCCCCCACGGCA